This 250-nucleotide ribosomal RNA is filed under the name uncultured bacterium. RNAcentral describes it as "partial 16S ribosomal RNA". It matches the Rfam family "Bacterial small subunit ribosomal RNA", at positions 524 to 776 of the family's 1533-position model. The record is from RNAcentral.
UACGAAGGGGGCUAGCGUUGCUCGGAAUCACUGGGCGUAAAGCGCACGUAGGCGGCUUCUAAGUCAGGGGUGAAAUCCUGGAGCUCAACUCCAGAACUGCCUUUGAUACUGGAGAGCUAGAGUCCGGAAGAGGUGAGUGGAACUGCGAGUGUAGAGGUGAAUCGUAGAUAUUCGCAAGAACACCAGUGGCGAAGGCGGCUCACUGGUCCGGUACUGACGCUGAGGUGCGAAAGCGUGGGGAGCAAACAGG